CUAGUCUCCAUGUCGUCAAUCUUCGGAUAUUUGAAGCAUUUGAACUAUUAUGGAUGUCCUUUAACCCUACUUUUGCACUUUUCAAAGCGCUUAAAUUUGAAUAACAGACAAGACAAUGCUACCUAUGGCAAUAAUUAACAGAAAUAGAAGACGAAGAGACAAUCAGCAAAUUAUUUCUUUCAGGAGGCAUUUGAGGGAUAACAGUAACUCUUUUAUCUAUGGAUAACAGUAAUCCAUUUGCAUUGCCUGAACGUGGAUUUAUUGAAUUGUUUAGGCUUAACAAAGAACUUGCUCGACAGCUUAUUGAUGAACUUAAUGCAGAACUGUCUAGAAGAAAAAAUAAUAGAGGCAUAUCUUUAGAAAUAAAAGUAUUAUCAACACUACGAUUCUUGGCAACUGGAUGUUAUCAGAGAUGCGUCGGAGAAGAGCAUAAUUUUGGUCUGAAUCAAACAUCGGUGCAUGUCAGUGGUGCCUGCAAUAAUUAAGUUUGGCACAAUAAAAUUAGUUUUCCGUCAACGAGACACGAAAGAAUUGCCACAAAACAACAGUUUUUAAAUAUUUGGGGAUUUCCUGGAACAGUGGGUGCAAUUGAUUGCACCCAUAUAGCAAUUUUAAAGCCUCACAUAGACGAACAUAAUUUUAUUAAUAGGAAGGGUUUUCAUUCAAUUAAUUGCCAAAUUAUUUGUAACGCAGACUUGAAAAUAUUGAAUGUUUUUAGCAAUUUUGGAGGAAAAAAUCACGAUUCUUUUAUUCGUCGUUGAAAACUCUCCAGAAGCCAGAUACAACAGAGCACACAUGGCAGCUCGAAACUGCGUGGAAAGGUGUAUUGGUCUUUUAAAAAUGCGGUUUAGGUGUGUAGCUAGAGUUUUAAGAUAUGAACCCGUCUUUGUGUCAGAAAUAAUUACGGCUUGUGCUAUUUUGCACAAUGUGUGUAUUACAAACAAUAUUAAUAUAAUAGGUGAACUAGAACAGUACGAGAGAUUUGAGCAACAUGGAGAAUUAGUGUUAAACCAGGGAGGACGAUUACAAGGAUUAAGAGCAAGACAAACAAUUGUAAAUAGAUAUUUUACUUAAAUAAAGUAUUCAAAAAUU
This is a long non-coding RNA of Anoplophora glabripennis (Asian longhorned beetle), 1092 nucleotides long. RefSeq lists it as uncharacterized. NCBI's taxonomy places the organism in Eukaryota, Metazoa, Arthropoda, Insecta, Coleoptera, Cerambycidae. The record is from RefSeq and is a predicted model, not a curated record. The transcript has 2 exons.